This 212-nucleotide long non-coding RNA is filed under the name Brassica napus (rape). RNAcentral's name for it is "long non-coding RNA (BNAP_LNC003585)". The record is from RNAcentral. Lineage: Eukaryota; Viridiplantae; Streptophyta; Magnoliopsida; Brassicales; Brassicaceae.
GGAGUCGUAGCUUGGUAUUCGCUUCUAUGACUUGUUAAGUGGGUGAGCUAAUGGAACAAUUGUUUGUAAAUAGAUUUAUAAAUGCUUAGAAAUUAUUUUAAAACAUUUGAAACUCCUAUACAUUUGAAAUUAUUUUCUGGUACACCAUCCAUUUCAUAAAGGAUUUUAUCCGCUGAGCCUCCUUUCUUCUGUGAUUAACUGUUGGCCCAGUC